RNAcentral lists this ribosomal RNA (468 nucleotides) under uncultured bacterium. RNAcentral describes it as "partial 16S ribosomal RNA". It matches the Rfam family "Bacterial small subunit ribosomal RNA", at positions 28 to 507 of the family's 1533-position model. The record is from RNAcentral.
GACGAACGCUGGCGGCGUGCUUAACACAUGCAAGUCGAACGGCAAGGCCCUGCUUUGGUGUGCGGCUCGAGUGCCGCCCGGGUGAGUAACACGUGAGUAUCCUGCCCUUUCCUUUGGGAUAAGUUCAGGCCGCUGGGACUCAUACCGGAUCGGAGCUCCUGCUUCUUGGUGGGUCUUGGAGAGUUUCGGCCGUUGGGGAUGGACUCGCGGCUUAGGAGCUUGUUGGUGGGGUAGUGGCUUACCAAGGCGUUGACGGGUGGCCGGCGUGAGAGGGUGACCGGCCACAGGGGGACUGAGAUACGGCACAGACUCCUACGGGAGGCAGGAGUGGGGAAGAUUGCACAAUGGGCGGAAGCCGGAUGCAGCAACGCCGCGUGCGGGAUGAUGGCCUUCGGGUUGUAAACCGCAUUCGCCUGUGACGAAGCGUGAGUGACGGUAAUGGGUAAAGAAGCACCGGCUAACUACGUG